Molecule: ribosomal RNA, 253 nt
Filed under: uncultured bacterium
Lineage: Bacteria
Description: partial 16S ribosomal RNA
Rfam family: Bacterial small subunit ribosomal RNA
Source: RNAcentral
GACGAACCGUGCGAACGUUGUUCGGAUUCACUGGGCUUAAAGGGCGCGUAGGCGGUCUGCCAAGUCCGGGGUGAAAGCCCCCAGCUCAACUGGGGAAGUGCCUUGGAUACUGGCGGACUCGAGGGAGGCAGGGGUUGUGGGAACUUCCGGUGGAGCGGUGAAAUGCGUUGAUAUCGGAAGGAACGCCGGUGGCGAAAGCGCACAACUGGUCCUCUUCUGACGCUGAGGCGCGAAAGCCAGGGGAGCAAACGGG